RNAcentral lists this transfer RNA (69 nucleotides) under Chlorocebus pygerythrus (vervet). Its description in RNAcentral is "tRNA-Ser". It matches the Rfam family "tRNA". Rfam says of the family: Transfer RNA (tRNA) molecules are approximately 80 nucleotides in length. Lineage: Eukaryota; Metazoa; Chordata; Mammalia; Primates; Cercopithecidae. The record is from RNAcentral.
GGAAAAGUUAUAGGGGCUAUAGGAUUGGCUUGAAACCAGUUUUAGGGGGUUCGACUCCCUCCUUUUUCG